Molecule: ribosomal RNA, 253 nt
Filed under: uncultured bacterium
Lineage: Bacteria
Description: partial 16S ribosomal RNA
Rfam family: Bacterial small subunit ribosomal RNA
Source: RNAcentral
UACGUAGGAUGCAAGCGUUGUCCGGAAUUAUUGGGCGUAAAGAGUUCGUAGGCGGUUGCCUAAGUCUGGGGUUAAAUACAGGAGCUCAACUCCUGCAUGGCACUGGAAACUGGGCAGCUAGAGUGUGGUAGAGGUCACAGGAAUUCCAGGUGUAGCGGUGAAAUGCGUAGAUAUCUGGAGGAACACCAGUGGCGAAAGCGCGUGACUGGGCCACAACUGACGCUGAGGAACGAAAGCCAGGGGAGCGAAAGGG